GGGUGGAACAGAAAUGCCCAAGAAAUGAGAAUAUCGCUAGGAUAAGCUCUUAACCUGGCUCUGAUACCAUGUUACAAGAGAAGAAAGGAUGAAAUAUUGUAUUUCUUAUUCAAAUGAUAAGGAGAGAGUACAAUUGAUAUAUAUAAUUGUUCAGAACAAAAUAAAAAAGGAAUAUAAGUAUAAAAACAGAAUAUAAAUAUAUGAACAUAAAUGCACAAAUAUGAACAGAGAAUAAAAUAAUUCCAAUAUCCCCCUCAAGCUGCA
Molecule: long non-coding RNA, 264 nt
Filed under: Vigna radiata
Lineage: Eukaryota; Viridiplantae; Streptophyta; Magnoliopsida; Fabales; Fabaceae
Description: long non-coding RNA (VRAD_LNC009985)
Source: RNAcentral